AGGGUUUGGUUUUCAGUUUUCACAAUCUUUGAAGGGCUUUGAGGUGGGGAAGAAUAACGCGGGGGACCAUUUAUGUGUUGCCAGACUUUGUGUAGGUAUCAAAUUCAUAUUUUUCAAAAUAAAUUAAAUGUGUUGAACUAAUUAUAAAAAUGUAGAUGUAUCACAAGUUGUGAUUCACAACGUCAUGUGUGUAAUUGCAGUGGUUCCAACAAUAGUUAAUACGAAAAAGAAAUAAAAAAAAACAAUAUAGAAAAGGUUCACCUAGAUUUUAAUUGGUAGUGUCAUUAUCAUAUGUAUAGGUUUUCUACAUAUAAUUAUUAAAAAUUGCGGUACUUGUUGACAAUGGUUAUGUUGGUAUCUAAGUAAACUUUUUUUUUUUAUGAAAUAUUAAAUUUAUUGAUCAUCGUAAAAAAAUAAUAGUUAUCUGAAAUAGUAAAGUUGAAGAGAAAUUCUCCACAUGCCGCCACCUCAUCUCUCAUAUCUCCAUAUUGGGCCACGUGUCGAGUAAAGAGAUAGCUUCUUUUUUUCUUGCCUCUAAUUCGCGGAGUAAUCGCUGGGCUUUCUGUUGAUUCAUUGGGCCAUCAAUAUUUUGAUUUUUUUUUGGCAUGUUCGUGUUUAAGGUUUGGUGUGCCCUCUUCUUCAAUUCGACGUCGUGUUCUUCCAUCGUCUCCAACUACGUUUGUAACUUCUUUUCUUUUCCUUAAACUCAAGCUUUAAUACAAUCAUUAAGUUCCACCGCACCUCUCUUCCCACUCUGUUUCAUUUAUUCCCAUUAACGAGUGUCGUCUGUAACAGAUCCAAGGUCGACUUAUAAAUAAGUGUUUUUAGAGCGAUGAAGAUCUACACCAUCGAGAUAUCUUAUAGCUUAAACAAUCCGACACAUCCCAUUCAAAUAUGUCGUCUUCCUAUGUUCUUUUUGCCAACUUAAGAGCGGUCCGUUACUCAAACACGGCGCAUGUGCGCCUUUUGAGAUUCUGGGAAGCUCAGGAAAGGUGGAGAGCUUAUGAGUGUCGACAUGCUUCUUAUCGAUGAACAGGUAACUUUGAUAACUCUCUGUUUCUUAUUUCUUUCAAUUAUGCAUUUCACAAACCUCGAUGUGUAAAUGUUUGGUUCGUUCUUGACGUGUUGUAGUCUACACUCAUCCACAAGACCAUCAACUUGAUCCAGAGUGGAAGAUGAUCAGGCCUGAUCUCGGGAGGAUAGAGAAAUUGGUGCUAUGCAAUGCCUUUGAUGAUGAAGAUAAGCCUUACCUUCCAAAGGUUUGCUUUUGUGCUUUUGUAUAAUUUUUUGUGUCGUUCUAUUAGUUCUUUUGAUUCUCUAUGUUCGAAGCAUAAUUUUCUAUCAAUUUGUUUUUCUUCUUCAACAUGAUUAGAUUAGUUGAACACAACCAACACUAAAGUGGUAUUUUUCUGUUUUUCUUCAGGAUUGUUCAAUUAUAAAUAUGCUAGCAAAAAAAAAAAUCAUUCUUCCCCUCCUCAGCCUACCAGAAGCGACCUCCUUCGUUGAUGUCUUAUUUAUGCGCCACCGCUCUCCUAUGACCAUACCACUAAACAGCAACAACAUCAACCAGCCUCCGAACGCAUCUCCACUUCUCACUACAAGCCUCCCCUCUAUAGAUAUAGCACGGUACCAUAGUUCUAUCGACUGUCUUAAUUUGUAUUUACGGUCUUCUUUCAUGAUUUUGAUAUUUGGUUCCAAAAUCUAGCCCGAGAAUCUUAGAGAGCAUGUCAAAGAAGGAAGUAAGAUAUGCAAUUUCUUAUGAAUCUGAUGUGGACACUUGACACAACCGAAAGGAGAAACACUUCUUUUAACCCCUUUCGAUAUGACACAACUCGCACAGUACUCAGUCACUCAUUUCUGUUUCUCUAUGAUUCUUCCAUUUAUGAGAAAUAACUUGCACAAAACGUUUGUUGGUUGUUUAGUCUUCACGAGAAAUACUUACUCCUCCACUUUUUGGUAAUUUUUGAGGAAAGUGCGACGAGUAUUUGGAUGUGCUUAAAUUUUCUUAUGGUAUUGUUUAUUUGGUUUUGUUGAGCAGGGUAUCUACUUACACAAUUGAAAUGUGAUGAUUGCUUUAUCGUAGUUCCUUUUCUGUGAAGUACUAAAUAGGGCAAUAUAAAGUCUCAGUUUUUAAGACAAAGACCAUAGCUGAAAUUAGGCAUGUGAUGUUUAUUACUAAUACAAGUCUAGGUGACCAAAAUCACGAGGAAAACCAAACAAUGAGUAUUUAUUUAUCUUUUUAUUUUUAUAGAAAGUUCGGGAAAAUACUUUACAGUAAGUCUAUAUAUUAAAAACUGCACUAUUAUUUAGCUUUUUGGAAAAACUCUUAUUUAUAAGUGACAAGAUUACUAAAUUAUUCAAUUUAAAUGUGUACUACAAUCUUAAUAACUAAAUUAACAAUUUUAAUGAAGAUUAUAAACUAUGUGCCAAAGGUAAUAAAUAAUAAAUAUAUAUUUUCAAAACAUAAUAAAUAAAUAUGUACUAUUUAUAAACACUAAGUUUUUAAUAAUUAUUGUAUGUAGUCCACAUUUUAAGAUUAAUCUUAUAUCGUAAUUAAAAAUUAAUAAUUGCCAAUCAAAUAAUAAGCAAUUUGGCUAUUACACUUUCAAAUUGUCAUGCAUAUGUUAAAACUUAAAGUGUUGUGCAUAUAUCAUAGAUAACCUCAAAAUCAACUAUGUAGAGAUUAAUUUCAAAUUAAUAGAUCUUUAUAUCAUUGAUACAUUUAAAAAAAAAAAUAAUAUUUAAAAUGUUGUAAAUUACAAAACCAACGAAGUAAUAUUAAUAUUAGAAAAGCGCCGGAAAACCACUAGUUUAUAAAUAAACUCUAAUAACAGAAAUUUUGCUAUUUUAAACUCCUAAUUUUGCUCAAUGCGAGUACUGAACCAAAGUUGCAUCAACCCCAAUAGCCAUUUCUUCUCAUAAUAACGAGUAGAUAAAAUUCGUUGCUGAUGGUCUUCUCGAUCAUCUUUGCGAGUUGGUUCGCUUGUCGACUUGUGUAUGACGUCUCUCGUUUCUUUCGCGCCAGAUAUAAUAGACAGUGACUUGCAGCGCUAAUUUCAGAAGAAUAGAAGCAAGUCUAUCAUGUGCUGCACUGAGUAUACGAACCAAAAUAUCUGUCCAAUCAGGCGAAGGUGCUAGUCGAAGUAAAGAGCCAGUAAACUGCAACCAGAGUCCAUAAAUAUAUAGACAUACAAAAAACAAG
RNAcentral lists this long non-coding RNA (3202 nucleotides) under Brassica napus (rape). RNAcentral describes it as "long non-coding RNA (BNAP_LNC019790)". Lineage: Eukaryota; Viridiplantae; Streptophyta; Magnoliopsida; Brassicales; Brassicaceae. The record is from RNAcentral.